UUUUUUAAUUGAAAACUUGUAUGAAAGGUUGGACGAAAUAUUAGCUGUUUCAUAAAAAUUUUUAUAGAAUUUAACUUUUAAGUUAAAAGGCUUAAAUAUAAUUAAAAGACGAGAAGACCCUAUAGAGUUUUAUAUAAUAAAGAUUUUAAUAUAUUAAUAAUAUUUUAAAUUUUAAUUUUCUUUUAUAUUUUAUUGGGGAGAUAUUAUAAUUUAAUAAACUUAUAUUUUUUUAUUACAUUAAUUUUUGAAUUUUUGAUCCAGUUUUAUUGAUUAAAAGAUUAAAUUACCUUAGGGAUAACAGCGUAAUUUUUUUUAGAGUUCUUAUCAAUAAAAAAGAUUGC
This 341-nucleotide ribosomal RNA is filed under the name Ohakunea bicolor. RNAcentral's name for it is "partial 16S ribosomal RNA". The record is from RNAcentral. Lineage: Eukaryota; Metazoa; Arthropoda; Insecta; Diptera; Diadocidiidae.